This 2937-nucleotide unclassified non-coding RNA is filed under the name Apis dorsata (giant honeybee). RNAcentral describes it as "collagen alpha-2(IX) chain-like, transcript variant X3". Lineage: Eukaryota; Metazoa; Arthropoda; Insecta; Hymenoptera; Apidae. The record is from RNAcentral.
UACUAUUAUUAGGAUUUUGAUAAGAUAAUAGUGCAGAAGUUUCUGUUACAAACAAACGAAAAGAACAAGAUCGAAAUUCCAAUGAAACGCACAAACUCCUUUCUCUGCAUACAUAUGCUAAUUCACGAUCAACAGUAAUUGUCUCUUCUCCUCGAUGACGGAAGAUGGAAAGCAAGAUCGAAUCUCCUUGAAGGGAGAUGGAGAGAGGCAAGCCAUGCGGUUCUCCAGGGCUUAUCAGUUCAUGCCAGGCAGUCGUGCAAUGCGUUGUCUCGUCUUACAAUUUUAAUUGUGUCUUAAAUAUUAUGUGUGACAUAAAUUAAACGGAUAUAUACAUAUAUUUACAUGUGCCAAUUCAUUGACUUUUGCUGAUCAAGCAGCAAUUAUCGAAAGCACACGUUCUCCAAUCGAAGAUUUUCAGCUACGUCGCGCUUUAACACGACCGGAAGAAGCUUCUUCAGAAAAAGCCGAAUCAAUUUGGAUCUGCGAAUGUAUUUCUCAGUAUGGAUAUUCUUAUUUAUGCAAUUCACAACACAAUAUAUUUUCGGCGAGAAAACUAUCCCAGAUUUCGUACAUGGACCAUGCGAAGGUUACAAACAGGGUGAAGAUGAUCUUCAAACAAUUGACUUUAUCAGUAAAUUGAAAUUGGAUCUUUUGGAGACACAUUAUACUGGUGUGACACGAGUAAGAGGUAGUAAUCGUAUGCAAACAGCCUACAGAUUGGAAAAAGACACUGACAUUACUCUGCCAAUCAAGAAUAUAUUUCCAAAUGGAUUGCCAGAGGAAUUUAGUGUAGUUUGCACAUUCAGAGCCAGAAAACUAUCGAAAUAUACUUGGCAUAUUAUCAAAAUCGUCGACAUGGAAAACGAGCCCCAAUUUUUAAUCGCAAUGAACCCAAAAGGUCAAACUUUGGAUUUGUUCGUGAAAAGCCAAACUGGUGAAAUGCAAAUAGUAUCGUUCUCAGCCGAUCAUAUAUUCGAUAAAAAUUGGCAUAAAAUUGAUAUUGGAGCCUUCAAGGAUAGGCUGGUGAUAUAUAUCGAUUGCGAAUAUAUUGGCACACAAGACGUAAAGCCAUGGGGUCCGAUCAAAGUGGAUGGUGAGAUCUCGAUAUCAAAGAUGUCGCACAGUAAGCUCACUAUACCGAUCGAUAUACAAUGGAUGGUCUUAAAUUGCGAUCCUACGAGACCUGAGAGAGAGACCUGUGAGGAAUUACUGAAGAGCCUUAGCAGCCCUUUAUUACCUCAGAGAAGACUUAGCUGUGAAAUUAUCUGUCCACAGGGAUCUCCUGGAAUUAAUGGCACUAAUGGUUUACCUGGUUUACCCGGAUUACCUGGGCCACCUGGACCAAUCGGAAAACCCGGUUUACCUGGACAUCCGGGUUUACAAGGACCGCCUGGCGAGCAAGGCAAAAUAGGGCCGCAAGGAUUUAUUGGUGCACGAGGAUUUAUUGGCAGUCCAGGUCCUAAGGGGUCUUCUGGACCUAUUGGACCAUCUGGUCCAAAAGGAGAACGUGGAGAAAGAGGUGACAUGGGAUUUCCAGGAUUGAAAGGAGAUCAAGGUCUUCCAGGGCCACGAGGUUAUCCAGGACCUCCAGGAAAUAUUAGCAACUAUCGCGAUUUUCUAUCACGAUUUACAGGAUUACCAGGACAAAAUGGUUCAAAAGGAGAGAAAGGGGAUCGUGGCGAUAAAGGAGAACAAGGCCAAAAAGGUGAAGCAGGAGAAAAAGGUUAUCCAGGUCAAAACGGAUUUCCUGGAAUAGAGGGAAAAUCAGGACUUCCUGGUUUUCCAGGUCUUAAAGGAGAAAUAGGAUUUCCUGGGAUACCGGGUCCGCAGGGAUUACCAGGUCCUCCAGGUAAAAUUGGAGCUCCUGGAAUUCAAGGAGCAAAAGGAGAAGUUGGAGAACCCGGUCGUGAUGGUUUACCAGGUUCAAUAGUUGGUUCAAUAAUACCAGGACAGCCUGGUCCUCAAGGUUCUCCUGGAAUACCUGGAGAAGACGGUCUUCCAGGAAUAAAAGGAGAACCUGGUCCUAUUGGUCCACCGGGUCUUCCAGGAUUACAAGGAAAAAACGGUCCUCCUGGUUCUCCAGGACCACCGGGAUUACAAGGUUUAUCUGGAGAACCAGGUUCUCCAGGUUCUCAAGGAGUAGAUGGUCCUAUUGGAAAACCAGGAUUACCAGGACUCGAUGGACAACCUGGAAAUAAAGGUGAUAAAGGUCAGCAAGGAGAACAAGGAUCUGUCGGGCCACGUGGUUUACCUGGAAGUAUUGGUGCACCAGGUUUACCUGGAGUUGCUGGUAUUCCAGGCUUAGAAGGACGAUCAGGUUUACCAGGUCCUCCAGGACCUCCUGGACCACCGGGUUCACCUGGAACUAUAGACAUGUUAAGUACAAAUAAUGUAUUAGAAACUAUUGGUAGUCCAGGAGUUAGUGGACCCAGAGGUCUACCAGGUACACCAGGAUUACCAGGUGAGAGAGGACCUUCUGGAGAAAGAGGUCCAGAAGGUAAAAUAGGAUUACCUGGAAUACCAGGAAAAGAUGGAGCUCCAGGACUUCAAGGACCACCAGGAAUUAGGGGACAAACUGGAAUACCAGGAGUUCAAGGACCACCAGGCCGAAGUAUUACCGAUUCAGAAAUUCGAGAUAUAUGUGCCAGUGUGUUACGAGUCAAUCGAUCGGAAAUUAACAACUCAUAUGACUGUGUACAUCGAUAAAGGCGAUGGAAUCUUGCAUGUGUCACAGAGAAGCUGAAAGAACUAACAGAAGGUCUACGAGGACCACCCGGGUUGCCGGGGUUGGCCCGACAGGGCCGUCCCGGUCGAGCCGGAACCCAAGGCAUCCCAGGUGAUCCAGGUCUUCCAGGUUUACCUGGGGAACGUGGUUUUAUUGGUUUACCAGGACCACAAGGCCAUAUAGGACCUCAAGGUCCACCUGGUGAACGGGGA